GUGCUUGAAUGUCCCGGGGGAGUCUCACAUCAUGCCCUGCAUUUACCUCGAUUUCUCGAUUGUUAAGGCUCUGUUCGCUUUUUUUGCCUAUAGUGUCUCUUUAAGCACGGCGGGUGCGCAAACGUCGUUUGUAUGUCGUUUGCACUAGGGUAUUCAUAGCAUCCAUCCAUUUGCAAAGCGACGCUUGCUCGGCUACCCAGACGCUCCGUGCGCGUACCCGCGUUAUCACAAGAUCUCGGCCUGCCAUGAAGUAGGAUGAUAGUUGUCCAGAGGUCGCCUUGGUUGCCACGCUUGCUUGUCAAUAUGGGUCGUCCACGUAUUGUGAGGACACCAUCGGAGGAGCGCGAGUUCAAGAUUAAACGUAAGGAAGCAAGGCGGGCCCGAAUACGUGCCCAGACGGAGGAACAACGUGCCGUUUCGCGUUCAAAGCACGCUGAACUUCAGCGCCGCAGGCGCCAAGAUGCGGCAUUGCGGGAACGUGAGGCCGAGGAAAGGCGACUACGCCGACAGGACCCCGUAAUUCGGUACCUGGAAGCGGCCAAACAUCGCGCCCGCCGUGAGGAUGCGGCAGUGCGGGAACGCGAGGCCGAGGCUAAGCGGCAACGCCGACAAGACCCCGCAGUUCGGCAGCAGGAAGCGUACGCACACCGCGCACGGCGGCAGGAUGCUGCAGUGCGGGAGCGCGAAGCCGAGGCAAACCGACGACGUCGACAGGACCCAGCAAUCCGGCGGCAGGAAGCGGACGCACAUCGUGCACGGCGCGAAGAUGCAGUUGUGCGGGAACGUGAGACCGAGGCAAGGCGUCAGCGACGGUUGAUAGAGCACACGGCACUAUUCGGAGGACAGAUCUUCAAUAACCCAUUUGGAUAUGCGUGCGAUGUUUGCCGUCGCCUUGGUUUUAAAGCAGACCUUUCGCCUAUCUGCGUUCCUCACGUGCCUCUGCUGAGUGCCGCGUUUCCGACCGAAGACGUGCCUUCCUUCAUGCUGUGCUCCACAUGCCACAGCGCACUGGAAAUGGGUACAAUUCCUGUGCCUCAUCGUUCCACAAGCGAUGAUAAAGAUUUACAGAGUGCUUUGCAGAACCUUGCUAAAGAAAUCUACUCCAAACAAAAUGCUCAAGAAGGCAAGGUUGACUGUUGCUUGCAGACAGAUGGCACUGGAAAGACUGAUUGCUUUGUGCAGACUGAAGGUGCCUCAAAGAAAACGUUUGAAGUGCCAACGGUGAAAUGCGUGAAGAUUGCUGCAGUGCAGACUGAAGAAUGUCCAGAAUUAAAGUUCUAUAAGCAUACCUGUGAUUCUGCUGAGUACGAGAGUGAAUGCCCUCUUGACCUGGGGGUAGAAAGUGAAGACUGGCUCUAACGUCAAACAAGGGCAGACGGUCUAACCACAAGGAAGGCAUCCUAUGCAGAUGCUGUCAGGGAUGCAUCAAUGUGGUCACAGUAUUAAUCGCGACCUUGAGCAAGAUGAUUGGCACUUUUGAGCAGGUGUGAUCAGCCGACUUGCCAGCCAUUUCAGCAAAAUAGCAGCUUGAUAAGGAUGCUCACUUCAAGCUCGCGCAAUGUUUCACGGGACCCACGCCGCCAAUUGCGAAAGGACUAACACUGGCGAAGGACCUUUUAUGCAUGACGUCUGCCAGGAGGACUUCUCUUGCGAACAAAGUUCUCGGCGUGCACCUGAGAAUUCACAUGUGGGAAAAGCCUCGCGAGUGCCCGGACUGUGGCAUGCAUUUGGCUGAAGCAUCCCACAUAUCAUGUCAUCGAAAGUUGCACCUAAGUGGUGGUUAAUGCUGUUACGUGUGUAUGCCGUACGACAAUAGCUCCAUGUGCAAGACCAUCCUCACCCAGAAUGUGAUACCCACUCGGACAAGAGACCACAUGCCUCGUUAAUGUAUGGAAAGAGGUUCACGCAAUGCAGCGGCGUCAAGAUGUAUGAAAAGAAUGUUGCAGAAGGUCUAGUACCCACUGCACUAUCUAUACUGCAAAGAAGGUUACUGGAGGAGAGUCAGACUAACAACCCAUGUGCAUGUUUGACACGGCAGCUCCACAUUCAGGGAGAGCUGAAAAGAUCGUGACCAUGAAAGGUGUAUUACUGAAGUGAGCAGCAGAAAGAAAAGCUUGGCAAGUUGAUCACUAAAUGAGAGAAAAGGAUAGUGAAAAAGCAAGUGUAGCCGACAAAAAGAUUGAAUUUCCAGUGGUGUGAAAAGGCACCUACUGGAGACAACAGGCCAAGUAGGGUGACUGGGAAGACAUGAGAAUCAAUAUUAUAGCCAGUUUGUGAAUAAACUUCAGUAUCAAGAAAAUUAUUCUGGAAAAAGCAGUGCUAAACUUGGGGCACGAGAGGACCCAGAAUGCUGUGCUGCGUACCAACUGAAAGGUUUGGUACGUACACAGUGGUACAUAAAUCUUAAUGUAGCUUAAUCAUAAAUUAAUGCAUAGAUGUGCAAAAAAAGCUAAACUUUGACAUUUUAAUCAACAAGACCACAUCAACAUUAAUAGGUGAGCACUUCUGCAGCUUGCUGCUUCAGGAAAUACUGCAUUACGCAAAUUUUGUGCGCCAAGUAACCUUUUUUUUUAAAUUUACACAAAAGAAAUUAUGAAACGGGGAUUAUCACAAGUUUAUCAAAAAUUUCACAAAGUAAGGUAUCUUGCAUGUGAGUGCUCAACAGUAUUCUUAGUAAAUAUGUUCUUAACACUGUAAAUCCACAGAAACAGUUCUCAGUCAAUCCACAUUCACAGAAAUAUAAUUGUUUACAUUGCAGCUGCAUAGGCAGAUUUAUCUGUAUUCUGUCAUUUUCUUGGGCACGCAUAUGCUAUCAAGAAUUUUUACCUACCCAUAAUGACUUGCGUGCCAAGAAAUAAACGUCGUACUGUCAUCUUGUGCCAUACGACUAUUAUCAUCUGGCUUGGUGACACAAAAUAUUAACAAGCCCGUAAUGAUGACUUGUUACCUAAUUGUACGUUGCGCAUAAGCACCAGGUGUCUGCAGAAUGCUGUUCCUUUACACACAAAUUCACACUUUGCAUUGUGCAGAAAACACAAUUUUUGUUGGUUACAGUCAAGAAACAAAGUCCUUGAAUUAACUUUCUGAACAUACUGUCAAAGCAUUGCAAUAAUGCAAUGAUGGUCUUCCUAUUGCCAUAAAAUAAUGAAGACUAGCUACCUCUACUGUGGGACAUGCUCACACUUGCCUUGUAAGCUGCAAAACACUGUCAUCGCUACUCUUUUAGAUACCUGCAACUAUGGCAAACCACUAAUGCUUGAACUACUGAAAUCAUGCUCGCACCUGCCCCAACCAAAAGCAUUAAAGAAACAAAGUAUCCAAUUAAAACUAACUGACAGGAUUUGUUUUAGCAAGUGCUUGUUUCUUGAACACAGUGCUGCUGAUGUACCUGCUCAUCAACUUUCAGGUGUGCAUUGACGAACUAGCACUUAUGAGGCACUGAUACCAUGUGCCUUGGUGAAGCCUAUGUUUUUAUUGUCGCACAGUAUUAUGGCGCUAUUCAACAGGAAAUGAUGACUUCUGCCAUACUCAGUUUCGGUACACACAUCUUUUUCUGCCUUAUAUGUAACUAUCUUUGUUUUGCGCGGUUUACGUGAGACACAAGAGGCUUCAUGAACCAGUGUAAACACCAAGUAUAACUUAUUGUCGCAAGUACAAUAGAGCAACUUUGCAUGAAUCCAUAGUGAACGGAAAGAAGUAGGAUGGGGGGGGGGGGACGAAAGACAAGCGCCUAUGCAUCUCUACAACUGUUUCUUCUUACUUUUGACGAUAAUUGCUCUUUGCAAACAAUAACUAGGUGAGCUGAAUUUGUUGUGCAGUUGUGCAGGCAGGCUAAGGCCGGUAAUGGGCUGUUUUAGUUCUCCUUAUUUCACUUAAAUGUAAUUUGCGUGAGAAAUUGAGGUAAAUGGCAUUUACCUCAAUUUCGUGCACAUGGAGGAAGGAAACUGAGGAGAGGUCCUACCCCCUCCGCGCGCUAGGAGAAAAGUGUAGAAAAAGUGACGUAGUGGGUUCCUUUUUUUUGCUGAUCUUUUAUUUAUUAG
RNA transcript from Dermacentor albipictus, 4040 nucleotides. It is a transcript of the gene named RNA-binding protein 25-like, with no coding region annotated. The record is from RefSeq and is a predicted model, not a curated record. NCBI's taxonomy places the organism in Eukaryota, Metazoa, Arthropoda, Arachnida, Ixodida, Ixodidae.